CCUAUCGUAGCUUAGUGGUUAAAGCGUUGGUAUGUAAAGCCAAAGGUCCCGGGUUCGAUUUCCGGCGACGGCG
This 73-nucleotide transfer RNA is filed under the name Agrilus planipennis (emerald ash borer). It matches the Rfam family "tRNA". Rfam says of the family: Transfer RNA (tRNA) molecules are approximately 80 nucleotides in length. Their secondary structure includes four short double-helical elements and three loops (D, anti-codon, and T loops). Lineage: Eukaryota; Metazoa; Arthropoda; Insecta; Coleoptera; Buprestidae. The record is from Rfam by way of RNAcentral.